Molecule: ribosomal RNA, 250 nt
Filed under: uncultured prokaryote
Description: partial 16S ribosomal RNA
Rfam family: Bacterial small subunit ribosomal RNA
Source: RNAcentral
UACGUAGGUGGCAAGCGUUGUCCGGAUUUACUGGGUGUAAAGGGCGCGUAGGCGGGGUGGCAAGUCAGAUGUGAAAUGCAGGGGCUCAACUCCUGAACUGCAUUUGAAACUGUCGCUCUUGAGUAUCGGAGAGGCAAGCGGAAUUCCUAGUGUAGCGGUGAAAUGCGUAGAUAUUAGGAGGAACACCAGUGGCGAAGGCGGCUUGCUGGACGACAACUGACGCUGAGGCGCGAAAGCGUGGGGAGCAAAC